This 73-nucleotide ribosomal RNA is filed under the name Streptomyces sp. DpondAA-E10. RNAcentral's name for it is "partial 23S ribosomal RNA". The record is from RNAcentral. Lineage: Bacteria; Bacillati; Actinomycetota; Actinomycetes; Kitasatosporales; Streptomycetaceae.
GGUUGAUAGGCCAGAUGUGGAAGCCCGGUAACGGGUGGAGCUGACUGGUACUAAUAGGCCGAGGGCUUGUCCU